GAGUGAGGCUGCGGGGACUCGCUGAGCAGCGGAGGGGGAGCGUGCAGAGCCGCUGCGGCCCUCACAGUCCGGAGCCCGGCCGUGCCGUGCCGUAGGGAACAUGCACUUUUCCAUUCCCGAAACCGAGUCCCGCAGCGGGGACAGCGGCGGCUCCGCCUACGUGGCCUAUAACAUUCACGUGAAUGGAGUCCUGCACUGUCGGGUGCGCUACAGCCAGCUCCUGGGGCUGCACGAGCAGCUUCGGAAGGAGUAUGGGGCCAAUGUGCUUCCUGCAUUCCCCCCAAAGAAGCUUUUCUCUCUGACUCCUGCUGAGGUAGAACAGAGGAGAGAGCAGUUAGAGAAGUACAUGCAAGCUGUUCGGCAAGACCCAUUGCUUGGGAGCAGCGAGACCUUCAACAGUUUCCUGCGUCGGGCACAACAGGUAGGGCUUUGGGUGGGACCAAGAUUUAAGGAAAGGACCUUGCUGGAAGGUCAUGUCUUUUAUUUUUUUGAGACAGAGUCUUGCUCUUUUGCACAGGCUGGAGUGCAGUGGUGCAAUCUCAGCUCACU
Molecule: small RNA, 549 nt
Filed under: Pan troglodytes (chimpanzee)
Lineage: Eukaryota; Metazoa; Chordata; Mammalia; Primates; Hominidae
Description: retained intron
Source: RNAcentral